AUUGAACGCUGGCGGCAUACCUUACACAUGCAAGUCGAACGGCAGCGGGGGAGAAGCUUGCUUUUCCUGCCGGCGAGUGGCGAACGGGUGAGUAAUACAUCGGAACGUGCCCUGUAGGGGGGGAUAACUAGUCGAAAGAUUAGCUAAUACCGCAUACGACCUGAGGGUGAAAGUGGGGGACCGCAAGGCCUCAUGCUAUAGGAGCGGCCGAUGUCUGAUUAGCUAGUUGGUGGGGUAAAGGCCUACCAAGGCGACGAUCAGUAGCUGGUCUGAGAGGACGUUCAGCCACACUGGGACUGAGACACGGCCCAGACUCCUACGGGAGGCAGCAGUGGGGAAUUUUGGACAAUGGGCGAAAGCCUGAUCCAGCAAUGCCGCGUGUGUGAAGAAGGCCUUCGGGUUGUAAAGCACUUUUGUCCGGAAAGAAAUGGCUCUGGUUAAUACCUGGGGUCGAUGACGGUACCGGAAGAAUAAGGACCGGCUAACUACGUGCCAGCCGCCGCCGUAA
RNAcentral lists this ribosomal RNA (508 nucleotides) under uncultured bacterium. RNAcentral describes it as "partial 16S ribosomal RNA". It matches the Rfam family "Bacterial small subunit ribosomal RNA", at positions 30 to 523 of the family's 1533-position model. The record is from RNAcentral.